RNAcentral lists this transfer RNA (63 nucleotides) under Xyloterini sp. RNAcentral's name for it is "tRNA-Trp". The record is from RNAcentral. Lineage: Eukaryota; Metazoa; Arthropoda; Insecta; Coleoptera; Curculionidae.
AAGAAUUUAGGUUAAAAAAACCCUUAGCCUUCAAAGCUAAAUUUAGAAAAUUUCUAAUUCUUA